GACGAACGCUGGCGGCGUGCUUAACACAUGCAAGUCGAACGGAAAGGCCCUGCUUGCAGGGUACUCGAGUGGCGAACGGGUGAGUAACACGUGGGUGAUCUGCCCUGCACUUCGGGAUAAGCCUGGGAAACUGGGUCUAAUACCGGAUAGGAGCCAUUUUUAGUGUGAUGGUUGGAAAGUUUUUUCGGUGUAGGAUGAGCUCGCGGCCUAUCAGCUUGUUGGUGGGGUAAUGGCCUACCAAGGCGGCGACGGGUAGCCGGCCUGAGAGGGUGGACGGCCACAUUGGGACUGAGAUACGGCCCAGACUCCUACGGGAGGCCGCAGUGGGGAAUAUUGCACAAUGGGCGCCAGCCUGAUGCAGCGACGCCGCGUGGGGGAUGACGGCCUUCGGGUUGUAAACUCCUUUCGCUAGGGACGAAGCUUUUUGUGACGGUACCUAGAUAAGAAGCACCGGCUAACUACGUG
RNAcentral lists this ribosomal RNA (465 nucleotides) under uncultured bacterium. RNAcentral describes it as "partial 16S ribosomal RNA". It matches the Rfam family "Bacterial small subunit ribosomal RNA", at positions 28 to 507 of the family's 1533-position model. The record is from RNAcentral.